Molecule: long non-coding RNA, 3111 nt
Organism: Hemibagrus wyckioides
Lineage: Eukaryota; Metazoa; Chordata; Actinopteri; Siluriformes; Bagridae
Exons: 3
Source: RefSeq, a predicted model, not a curated record
CUUUUUGCCUCCACAGAUUAAGCUCAGCAUAUAAUGAGACGGUCACCUCAUUUUAGUGGGAGAACUGUCCAUAAGUCCGGAAUUGCGCGAUGAAGGCCUGGAAAAAAUGACUUUGUUGUUGUCUGCAAGACAUACUAUGAGACCAUGCACAGAAAUUUCCAGUACAGCCAGCCAGAGCUAGCAAGUGUGGCUGCAGCUAAUAAGACCUCAGCCCGGAGUCGCCAGAGGAGGAAGAGGCUCUUGGACGCGAGGCAAAGUGUACUGGCUGCGGACGAAGUGGACUUCUGGAGGGGAAUCACCGCUGAUGAUGUCAGAUGAAGAAGACGGUGCCGUUGAUGGAGUUUCAGGGUGGAUUGUGAGACCUCCAUCAUUCCUCAGCCAGGAGCUCAGCAAUCUGUGUGCUAAGCUGCAGGCGAGAUUAGAACGGGAACUUUAAAGUGUGCAGCACUGCAUCACCAGCGUCUGCGAAAUGGGCUGCCGUCUAACAGAACACCACCACAUACCUAUGACCCCGAGGCAGCAAAAAGACAUUUGAUGCCAAACGUGAUGCCAUGAAGAAAAUCUCUGGCUACUUUUUGUGUAUUUAUUUUUACUUACUAAACUUACAUUUUAUCAACAUAUUUCUCCCAAAUGUCUGUUUUCCUAAUAUUUACUAUUAGCCUUUAUGACACCUAUAUUGUUAUAUCUUUAACGAUUUGUAUAGAUUAAUAUAUUAUAUUAUAUUAGGGCUGUCAAUCGAUUAAAAUAUUUAAUCGCGAUUAAUCGGAUGAUUGUCAUGAGUUAACGUGAGUUAACGCAUGCGCUCUCUCUCUCUCUCUCUCUCUGCCUGUUUUCUGUCUUUGUUUAUCUGCCGAUUCUACUUCUUUGCCGGUUCCUGAGCACCACAGCACACUUACACUCAUCCAAAAUGCUCUCAUUGCUUCAGACACGUCAUGAUGUUUAUCCCAAGCCCAUACACCCCAUGGUAUGGUUCCGACUGUGUCUGUCACCCAAGAACGGGAACUUCCCAGGCUGUGAAUUGUCGAUAACUGCUGGUGAUUAGAGAAGUCAUCAGGCAUUCACGGGGAUGAAAAUUUGCAUGUUGCAAAUUUUCAUGCAGUGACUAUCAAUCUGAUGUUUAAUUCUGUUUUAUUAGUUAUCACUAAUACAUUAUUACAAAUAUAGCAUUGCACAAACUGUCCUCAUGACUGCAUGAGCAAUAAUUUCAAUAUUGUUAAUAAACAUGCUUUUAAUAACAUCGUACAGUACAGUGGCUAGAUACAGAAUUCAUAUAUACAAAACAACAAAAAUAAUCCACAGGUUGUAAAGUCCAAGGAAACAGGCACUACCUAUCACUUCUCUCAUUUCUUUAUAUAAUUCUUGAACGCAUUGUUUAUCAGCUGUCUGACCUCUUGCAGAAUAACCUCCAUGAUCCCAACCAGUCUGGCUUCAAAGCAGCACAUUCCACAGAGACUGCCCUUUUGGUGGUCACUGAGAAACUACAUGCUGCUAGAUCAGCCAAGCUGUAAUCUGUCCUCAUCCUCCUUGACCUUUCUGCAGCAUUUGAUACAGUAAACCACAAGACUCUCUUGUCCACCCUCAGGAGUCUUGGAAUUUGUGGAACAGCAUGGGAAUGGCUUGCUUCUUACAUGGAUGGUUGCUCAUAUCAGGCAACAUGGAAGGGACUGACAUCUGCCCAUGCAAACUCUCUACUGGUGUCCCACAAGGCUCAGUAUUUGGUCCUCUCCUUUUCUCCCUCUAUACUCAUUCUCUAGGCAAAAUUAUAUCCUCACAUGGGUUUUCAUACCACUGCUAUGCCGAUGACAGCCAACUUAUCUUCUCCUUCCCUCCAUGAGCUCCCCUUCAGUCACUGCUUGCUACCUUGCGGUUAUCAUGGACAAUCAACUGUCCUUCUCCUCCCAUGUUGCUAAUGUGACACGCACAUGUUGGUUUCUUCUGUACAUCAGAAGGUUUCAACCAUUUCAAUCCACACAGGCUACUAACGUGCUUGUUCAGUCUCUUGUCAUUUCGAGAAUGGACUACUGCAAAUCUCUACUGGCAGGACUACAUCUGAAGGCAAUUCAUGCACUGCAAAUGAUCCAAAAUUCUGCUGCACAAUUUCUCCCACAGCACCCCACUGCUGCAUUCCCUCCACUGGCUUCAGGUAGCUGCAUGCAUCAGAUUAAAGACACUGAUGCUUGUCUACGAAGCCAAGAAUGGACCAGCACCAUCUUACCUCAAAGCUCUUAUUACUCCUCUCACUGCACCUUGCUCCCUCAGAUCCACUAGCACUGCUCAACUGGUCCCAUCAUCUCUCAGGGUAAAAGGUAAGUAUACAUCUAGACUCUUCUCUGUUCUGGCACCAAGGUGGUGGAAUGAACUUCCCCUAGAUAUCUGUACAGCCAAGUCACUGUUUGUUUUCACAUUGUGGCUGAAAACCUACCACUUCUAAAACAAAAUAAAACAAACAAAAACUCAGUUUUUAGGCUGAUGGUAUCCUAAGUCUGUGACCUUUUGAAACAGUGUUAAUGUAUUCAUUGAUGGAGACUUCAAAGAACUUUUGUACAUUACUCUGGAUAAGAGUGUCUGCCAAAUGCCAGAAAUGUAAAUGUAAAGAGUGCUGCCGGGUUCCACUCACUGCUGCAGUCCUGAAAUCCUUCCCUGAAAUCUCAAAAGUCAAAGAAGCUUUACUGUCACUUCAACCAUAUAUACUGUAGCUGAUGCAGUACACGGUGAAAUGAAACAACGUUCCUCCUAGACUAAAGGUGCUACACAUAACAAAAACAAAGUACAGGUGAUGCAGAUAGACAGAGCUAAAAACAGAGAUAAGGCUAAGCUAUACUUAAGGUGCAAUCUUUAGAAACUAGACAUACAACAGAAGUGCACAGGAUGACAAGACAAGACAGUGCAGACAAACAAGAGAUAUAACACCGACUCUGUGCAAAAGGAUAGUGUUGACAGUGAAUGCAAAUAUUAAAGUGACCUGUAAACAGGAUCAAUGUAAAGUGUAAUGUAAAGUGACAAAUGCUUGCAAACAGGAAUUUUGUGCGUGUGUGACUGUGUCCAGCACAGUUCAAUUUCUCUGUUGAAAAGUUCAGUCUCUCUGUUGAGAUCAGAUCUCGGUUGUAUGUG